Molecule: non-coding RNA, 207 nt
Organism: Pelobates cultripes (western spadefoot toad)
Lineage: Eukaryota; Metazoa; Chordata; Amphibia; Anura; Pelobatidae
Source: the annotation of a GenBank genome assembly
CUAUAUUCAAAAAGUAUUUCAAUAUACACAGGUUUAAAAUGAGGACAUUUAAGGCACAUGCUUUAAAAAAAUACAUACUAUGGCGAUAGGUGUAAUAUAACAUUGCAUGGAGAUAAAAGUAUCAGAAUAACAUGAAAAAAAUAGUGCUGUAGAGAGAGCAUAGGUUAUAUUUACACGAUUUAAAUUCAGAGUCACGACCAUACAAAC